GUAGCGGCGAGUGAAGCGGCAAAAGCUCAAAUUUGAAAUCUGGCGUCUUUGGCGUCCGAGUUGUAAUUUGAAGAAGGUAUCUUUGGGCCCGGCUCUUGUCUAUGUUCCUUGGAACAGGACGUCACAGAGGGUGAGAAUCCCGUGCGAUGAGAUGACCCGGGUCUGUGUAAAGUUCCUUCGACGAGUCGAGUUGUUUGGGAAUGCAGCUCUAAGUGGGUGGUAAAUUCCAUCUAAAGCUAAAUAUUGGCGAGAGACCGAUAGCGAACAAGUACAGUGAUGGAAAGAUGAAAAGAACUUUGAAAAGAGAGUGAAAAAGUACGUGAAAUUGUUGAAAGGGAAGGGCUUGAGAUCAGACUUGGUAUUUUGCAUGUUGCUCUCUCGGGGGCGGCCGCUGCGGUUUACCGGGCCAGCAUCGGUUUGGAGCGGCAGGAUAAUGGCGGAGGAAUGUGGCACGGCUUCUGCUGUGUGUUAUAGCCUCUGACGAUACUGCCAGCCUAGACCGAGGACUGCGGUUUUUACCUAGGAUGUUGGCAUAAUGAUCUUAAGUCGCCCGUCUUGAAACACGGACCAAGGAGUCUAACGUCUAUGCGAGUGUUUGGGUGUAAAACCCGUACGCGUAAUGAAAGUGAACGAAGGUGGGGGCCCAUUAGGGUGCACCAUCGACCGAUCCUGAUGUGUUCGGAUGGAUUUGAGUAAGAGCAUAGCUGUUGGGACCCGAAAGAUGGUGAACUAUGCCUGAAUAGGGUGAAGCCAGAGGAAACUCUGGUGGAGGCUCGUAGCGGUUCUGACGUGCAAAUCGAUCGUCGAAUUUGGGUAUAGG
This 820-nucleotide ribosomal RNA is filed under the name Candida albicans. RNAcentral's name for it is "eukaryotic LSU rRNA". It matches the Rfam family "Eukaryotic large subunit ribosomal RNA", at positions 83 to 921 of the family's 3401-position model. Lineage: Eukaryota; Fungi; Ascomycota; Pichiomycetes; Serinales; Debaryomycetaceae. The record is from RNAcentral.